Long non-coding RNA from Callithrix jacchus (white-tufted-ear marmoset), 2046 nucleotides. RefSeq lists it as uncharacterized. The record is from RefSeq and is a predicted model, not a curated record. NCBI's taxonomy places the organism in Eukaryota, Metazoa, Chordata, Mammalia, Primates, Cebidae.
GGGCGGCUGAGCCGCGGGAGACCGGGCAUUCUGGGAAGCGGCCACGCCCACCGCGAGGGAGGCCAGAGGCUGCAUGUGCCUGGCAGUUGGGGGCCCCGGGACCCCGCCGCAGCAACGCUACAGUCGCUGGUCGUCUCCUGAGCGCCGGCAGCUGUUUACCUCUUCCUAUUUAAUAGUGACUCCUAACCAACCAGGGAACUAUUGGGAAUAAAAAUGAAGACCUGAGUAAAUAAACGGCUAGAAGAUGAAAGCUGAGAUGGGCACAAGUGUGACCUCCAGAUAAUAGCAGGACAUAAUUGGGACCUGCCAACCCAGAGGAGGAUCUGGAGCAAGGGCGGAUGAAGAGGAACCAUGUCUGGCAGCAGAUAGUGGAACCAGUAGAUGAUGAAACUGAGUCCCAGAGAGGUGAAGUGGGCUGCCUGAGGUCACACAGAGGUAUCCACAGAACCAGCCUCAGGGCUUCCCCUCAGAGACACCAGCACCACCGGCCGGCAAACCCUCCGCAAAGGUCAGCACCAUGGGCGCUCCACCAAGCUGCUGAGUUUCAACAGUUCUCACUGUUUCCCUUUGUUCCUCCAGUCCUAGGGAAGCCCUGGCUGAUUCCUGCAGCUGUGACUUCCAGAAUGCUUCAGCGUUCUCUCUUUGCGUUUUUCAGUUCUUCAGUACCUAAUCAACAAUUCUGCAUGUUAGAUUCUCACUGUUGAAAUAACUGGUGUGGGCCAGGGAACGGUGGCUCAGGCCUAUAAUCCCAGCACUUUGAAAUGCCAAGGCAGGCGGAUCGCUUGAGCCCAGGAGUUCCAGACCAGCCUGGGCAACACAGCAAAACCCCGUCUCUACAAAAAAUACAAAAAUUAUCCAGGCCUGGUGGCGCAUGCCUGUGGUCCCAGCUACUUAGGAGGCUGAGGUGGGAAGAUGGCUUGAGCCCAGGAGGUUGAGGCCGCAGUGAGUUCAGAUCGUGCCACUACACUCCAGCCUGGGCAACAGAGCAAGACCUGGUCUCAAAAGCAAGCAAACAAACAAAAAAUUGGUGUGGUGUGGUUUCUGUCUCUUUUUUUUUUUUUUUUUUUGAGAUUCAGUCUUGCUCUUGCCACUAGGCUGGAGUGCAGUGGCACGAUCUCAGUUCACUACAAUCUCCGCCUCCUGGGUUCAAGCGAUUCCCCUGCCUCAGCCUCCCAAGUAGCUGGAACUACAGGCGCUCACCACCAUGCCUGGCUAAUUUUUUGUAUUUCAGUAAAAACAGGGUUUCAUCAGGUUACCGGCCAGGACGGUCUCAACCUCUUGACCUCAUAAUUCACCUACCUCGGCCUCCCAAAGUGCUGGGAUUACAGGUGUGAGCCACCGCGCCCAGCCAGCUUCUGUCUCUUACUGGACCCUGACUGACAGACUCACUGAAUCACUGAACCGUCAAACUCAAGGCUCAGUGUUACAGAGGCAGGAGUCAGGCCCCCCGUACCCCUGACUUGCCUCAUGGCUAAGAGAAACAAUGGCUUCAGCCCCUUGUUCAGGAAUCCUGCGGACUAGAGAUGGAUGAACUGCUCACAGGGAUAUCUAAUCAGCUCUGGAAAAACUGGGCCAACAGUUAAACCACACAAACAAAAGAGCCACAGCUCCACACAGAACAGCCUGCUGGGCAAAUGCCAAAACAAACGGCCAUGGUCUCCGGGCCUCAUCAGGGCUGCAGGCUUCCUGGGCCCUCACGGAGGCCUCUCAAGAAGUAGGGGCAGAGGCCAAGUGCAGUGGCUCAUGCCUGUAAUCCUAUCACUUUGGGAGGCUGAGGUGGGAGGACUACUUGAGCCCAGGAGUUCAAGACCAGCCUGGGCAACAAAGCGAGAUCCCCCAUGUCUGUGGAAUUAAAAAGUUAGCCAGGCAUGGUGGCAGACGCCAGCUUCUCAAGCGGCUGAGACUGAAACAGGAGGAUCACUUGAGCCCCAGGAGGUCGAGGCUGCAGUGAGCCAUGAUCACACCACUGCACUCCAGCCUGGGAAACAGCGAGACUCUGUCUCAAAAAGAAGAGGAAGAAGAGGAGGAGGAGGAGGAGGAACAACA